RNAcentral lists this ribosomal RNA (468 nucleotides) under uncultured bacterium. RNAcentral describes it as "partial 16S ribosomal RNA". It matches the Rfam family "Bacterial small subunit ribosomal RNA", at positions 28 to 507 of the family's 1533-position model. The record is from RNAcentral.
GACGACCGCUGGCGGCGUGCUUAACACAUGCAAGUCGAACGGAAAGGCCCUGCUUUUGUGGGGUGCUCGAGUGGCGAACGGGUGAGUAACACGUGAGUAACCUGCCCUUGACUUUGGGAUAACUUCAGGAAACUGGGGCUAAUACCGGAUAGGAGCUCCUGCUGCAUGGUGGGGGUUGGAAAGUUUCGGCGGUUGGGGAUGGACUCGCGGCUUAUCAGCUUGUUGGUGGGGUAGUGGCUUACCAAGGCUUUGACGGGUAGCCGGCCUGAGAGGGUGACCGGCCACAUUGGGACUGAGAUACGGCCCAGACUCCUACGGGAGGCAGCAGUGGGGAAUAUUGCACAAUGGGCGGAAGCCUGAUGCAGCAACGCCGCGUGCGGGAUGACGGCCUUCGGGUUGUAAACCGCUUUCGCCGGUGACGAAGCGUGAGUGACGGUAAUGGGUAAAGAAGCACCGGCUAACUACGUG